GCGAACGCUGGCGGCAGGCCUAACACAUGCAAGUCGAACGAACUCUUCGGAGUUAGUGGCGGACGGGUGAGUAACACGUGGGAACGUGCCUUUAGGUUCGGAAUAACUCAGGGAAACUUGUGCUAAUACCGAAUGUGCCCUUCGGGGGAAAGAUUUAUCGCCUUUAGAGCGGCCCGCGUCUGAUUAGCUAGUUGGUGAGGUAAAGGCUCACCAAGGCGACGAUCAGUAGCUGGUCUGAGAGGAUGAUCAGCCACAUUGGGACUGAGACACGGCCCAAACUCCUACGGGAGGCAGCAGUGGGGAAUCUUGCGCAAUGGGCGAAAGCCUGGCGCAGCCAUGCCGCGUGAAUGAUGAAGGUCUUAGGAUUGUAAAAUUCUUUCACCGGGGACGAUAAUGACGGUACCCGGAGAAGAAGCCCCGGCUAACUUCGUG
This 432-nucleotide ribosomal RNA is filed under the name uncultured bacterium. RNAcentral describes it as "partial 16S ribosomal RNA". It matches the Rfam family "Bacterial small subunit ribosomal RNA", at positions 29 to 507 of the family's 1533-position model. The record is from RNAcentral.